GCAUGAGUUUGGAUUUAUGGCAGGCCCGUCCCCCUGGGCCUCUCAGAGUUUCCCAUGCCAGAGCAAAGUGGCCCCAAACCAUUGCCUGGCCUCUGCCCGUAGGCUGCAGGCACUGAAGUGGGUUGCACAGUG
Hippopotamus amphibius kiboko is the source of this 132-nucleotide small nucleolar RNA. RefSeq annotates it as small nucleolar RNA SNORA42/SNORA80 family. NCBI's taxonomy places the organism in Eukaryota, Metazoa, Chordata, Mammalia, Artiodactyla, Hippopotamidae. The transcript has a single exon. The record is from RefSeq and is a predicted model, not a curated record.